AAAUGAAUUGACGGGGGCCCGCACAAGCGGUGGAGCAUGUGGCUUAAUUCGAGGCAACGCGAAGAACCUUACCUGGAUUUGACAUAUACUGGAAUCACUUAGAAAUAUUUGAGCCCGCAAGGGCCGGUAUACAGGUGCUGCAUGGCUGUCGUCAGCUCGUGUCGUGAGAUGUUCGGUUUAGUCCGGCAACGAGCGCAACCCAUGUUAUCAGUUGCUAACAGGUGAUGCUGAGCACUCUGAUAAGACUGCCUGUGUUAAGCAGGAGGAAGGCGUGGAUGACGUCAAGUCCGUAUGGCCUUUAUAUCCAGGGCCGCACACGUGCUACAAUGGUCGGCACAGAGGGAAGCAAUAUCGCGAGAUGGAGCAGAUCCUGAAAACCGAUCUUAGUUCAGAUUGCAGUCUGCAACUCGACUGCAUGAAGCCGGAAUCGCUAGUAAAGGCGUAUCAGCUACGACGCCUUGAAUACGUUCCCGGGCCUUGUACACACCGCCCGU
RNAcentral lists this ribosomal RNA (494 nucleotides) under uncultured bacterium. Its description in RNAcentral is "bacterial SSU rRNA". It matches the Rfam family "Bacterial small subunit ribosomal RNA", at positions 903 to 1397 of the family's 1533-position model. The record is from RNAcentral.